Molecule: ribosomal RNA, 253 nt
Filed under: uncultured bacterium
Lineage: Bacteria
Description: partial 16S ribosomal RNA
Rfam family: Bacterial small subunit ribosomal RNA
Source: RNAcentral
UACGUAGGCAGCGAGCGUUGUUCGGAGUUACUGGGCGUAAAGGGUGUGUAGGCGGUUCCUUAAGUUUGUUGUGAAAUCUCCCGGCUCAACCGGGAGGGUGCGGCGAAUACUGAGGAGCUAGAGUGCGGGAGAGGAAAGUGGAAUUCCUGGUGUAGCGGUGAAAUGCGUAGAUAUCAGGAGGAACACCGGUGGUGUAGACGGCUUUCUGGACCGUAACUGACGCUGAGACACGAAAGCGUGGGUAGCGAACAGG